UACGAAGGGGGCUAGCGUUGCUCGGAAUCACUGGGCGUAAAGCGCACGUAGGCGGCAUCUUAAGUCAGGGGUGAAAUCCUGGAGCUCAACUCCAGAACUGCCUUUGAUACUGAGGAGCUCGAGUCCGGGAGAGGUGAGUGGAACUCCGAGUGUAGAGGUGAAAUUCGUAGAUAUUCGGAAGAACACCAGUGGCGAAGGCGGCUCACUGGCCCGGUACUGACGCUGAGGUGCGAAAGCGUGGGGAGCAAACAGG
This 253-nucleotide ribosomal RNA is filed under the name uncultured bacterium. RNAcentral describes it as "partial 16S ribosomal RNA". It matches the Rfam family "Bacterial small subunit ribosomal RNA", at positions 524 to 776 of the family's 1533-position model. The record is from RNAcentral.